Lolium rigidum is the source of this 836-nucleotide long non-coding RNA. RefSeq lists it as uncharacterized. NCBI's taxonomy places the organism in Eukaryota, Viridiplantae, Streptophyta, Magnoliopsida, Poales, Poaceae. The record is from RefSeq and is a predicted model, not a curated record. The transcript has 3 exons.
GUUCAUGUGGCUGAUUAGCCCCUUCCUGAUAGCUGGCCAUUCAAGCUUCAUGAUGUUUUCUUGGUUUUAUCAUUAUAUGUGAUGGUCCGCUGUUAGUUCAGCCAAAUAUCAUUCUUGUGGUCCAGUUGCAUGUUAUACAAUGAACACACCCAGUACGAAGGUUAAACGCAAUAUCCUGUAUUUUCAGAUAGUUGAUCGUGUUGCUGUGCAUGUGCUUCGCUGGAGCUGUGGUUCCCAAAUUAAAUCAUACAUUCAGGUAUUGCCUUCCAAUUUCAUAUCAUGUUCUCUCCAGUUAGUGUCCACUUAUUUUUCGGUUGGUGAAAAUCACAUAGACAAAAGUUGGUUCAUACACACCUACUAAUUUUGUAUAUUCAGCAGUUAGUUAGCUCAAGAGAAAUAGGGCUUAGUGUAGGUUCCCACUUUUGAUUUAUUUAGUGUUCCAGUAGCCCAAUUAAUCUAUGUAAGGUAAGCAGGCAUGUAUAUGGUUUUGCAGCCAAAGAACAAUGAAGAUCAGGUCACAAGAUUAGUGUGGCUUCGAAGAAUAGAAUAAUCAUAUUGCUACUUGUGGAUGCUUUAUUUGAAGGCUUUAUCUUGAGACAAACACUUAAAGAUUGGCGGAACGAGCUUCAGAAGGGAAAGGAGUAGGACAAAGGUGUCGUCACAGAAGACGUAGGGCUGAGAUCAGGGGAAGGAGGUGGCGGGAGGGAGACUGCAGCGACUGCGAUGAGCUCCGCUUUCUUCCGCGCUGUUAGAUCUUCUUUUUAUCUGUACGUGGCUUUUUAUUUCUUUCCAUCACAUUUAUACUGCUUCUGGUUUUGUAUUCCUGUCGCCUUAUA